RNAcentral lists this ribosomal RNA (422 nucleotides) under uncultured cyanobacterium. RNAcentral describes it as "bacterial SSU rRNA". It matches the Rfam family "Bacterial small subunit ribosomal RNA", at positions 235 to 672 of the family's 1533-position model. The record is from RNAcentral. Lineage: Bacteria; Bacillati; Cyanobacteriota.
GUAUGAUUAGCUAGUUNGUGGGGUAAGGGCCUACCAAGGCNACGAUCAGUAGCUGGUCUGAGAGGAUGAUCAGCCACACUGGGACUGAGACACGGCCCAGACUCCUACGGGAGGCAUCAGUGGGGAAUUUUCCGCAAUGGGCGCAAGCCUGACGGAGCAAGACCGCGNGCGGGAGGACGGCCUAUUGGUUGUAAAGCGCUUUUGAUAGGGAAGAAGCACUGACGGUACCUAUCGAAUCAGCAUCGGCUAACUCCGUGCCAGCAGCCGCGGUAAUACGGAGAAUGCAAGCGUUAUCCGGAAUUAUUGGGCGUAAAGCGUCCGUAGGUGGUUGUUCAAGUCUGCUGUUAAAGCUUGCGGCUUAACCGCAUACCAGCAGUGGAAACUGGGCGACUAGAGUGCGGUAGGGGUUAGGGGAAUUCCCA